RNAcentral lists this ribosomal RNA (253 nucleotides) under uncultured bacterium. RNAcentral describes it as "partial 16S ribosomal RNA". It matches the Rfam family "Bacterial small subunit ribosomal RNA", at positions 524 to 776 of the family's 1533-position model. The record is from RNAcentral.
UACGUAGGGUGCGAGCGUUAAUCGGAAUUACUGGGCGUAAAGCGUGCGCAGGCGGUUGUGCAAGACAGAUGUGAAAUCCCCGGGCUCAACCUGGGAACUGCAUUUGUGACUGCAUGGCUAGAGUGCGGCAGAGGGGGAUGGAAUUCCGCGUGUAGCAGUGAAAUGCGUAGAUAUGCGGAGGAACACCGAUGGCGAAGGCAAUCCCCUGGGCCUGCACUGACGCUCAUGCACGAAAGCGUGGGGAGCAAACAGG